Gouania willdenowi (blunt-snouted clingfish) is the source of this 3640-nucleotide long non-coding RNA. Ensembl annotates it as serine/arginine repetitive matrix protein 1-like. The record is from Ensembl. Lineage: Eukaryota; Metazoa; Chordata; Actinopteri; Blenniiformes; Gobiesocidae.
GCCAGUUGUAGACAGAGAGGAGAGAGAGAGAGGCUGAGCGGUAGAUCAGCGACUGCUGGCGUGAAUAUGGCGGAGACCGUACGGUCGCAAUUCGAAUAUCGCGAACGGCACAACACGGACAGCGACGGAGAAAGCGUCAAACCAGUGGCACCGCUUCGUGGGCGUGGCUGCGGAAGGAAGAGAAAAGGAACACCCGUGAAAGUAUUUGUUCCACAUGUAGAGGAGGAGAGCGUGCCAGAAACGAGCAUCAAUCCAGGUGAUCGUAGGGAAUCAGGAGAGAUCAAGCGACCCAUGAUGGACAGGCUUACCAACCACACAGAGUCAGAUCCUCAUAAUGGUAAAUCAGAGCAGAUCCAUGAGAAAGGCUCUGCUGGAUCAAAGAACAGCUCCUGCUCCGCCUCCACCCCAGCUUCUACUACAGUGACAUCAUCAGCCCCAUCAUCAGCACCCGCUCCUGCACGGACCACCGUGACCCCAGCCCAGACCCCCACACUGACCCCAGCAUCCACAGCCCCGGCGGUCCCAGAAGCCUCCGCUCCAGCGGCAACAGCCAGUCCCUCCCCUCCCUCCCCAAACUGUCGUAUAAGAGAAGUGCACUGUGGCAGCCAAGUACGCCUGGUGGUGAUCGCCAUCAGAGAUAUCAACAAAGGGGAGGAGAUCACUGUGGACUACAGCCUGACAGAGUGGGGAGAGAAUCUGGGUUUUCGUGGCACUGUGUCCCCAGCACGACACGAGUGUAACUCCGAUACAGAGAAUACCAAUGUCAAAAAGGAGGAGGAACCUCUCUCCCUGACAUCCCAGCGGGGUCAGCCUCAACAACCCCCGCAACAACAGCAGGACUUUGUCACCCCUUCUUGGUCCCUCUCCCCAUCCUCGUCCCCAAUCUCCCACUCUGAUGCCAGUGACUCAGAUGCAGGAGACCAUGACAAAUCCAGUCCCCGUGGACGUGCACCAAGACGGCGCAAGAAGCGUCGCAGUACGCCUUUGAAGAAAAAGAUCCCUCAUCGAACCCCAGCGGGGCGGUCACAGGCAGUCUCCUCCUCAGGUGUCCCUAAUCAGAACCGUCCAAUUUGUUCACCGCAUCCACCAGCUAACUCGCCCCCCGUCUGCUCGUUGUCUCUUUCUUCUUCUGUCAAUUCUGCGUUCAAACCCCCCGCUCCUGUCAGUUCCAGCUCAGAAAGCAGCUCCAACACACACACUCCCAGAAGACCAGUGUCCACAGACUCCACACGGCAAACAUGCGAGUACUGUGGACGUCACUUUCGCUCUUUGGGGCGCCACUUGGAUAAACACCACUCCCAUCAGCCAGAUGUGUGCUCUGCCCUCGUUGAACGCUACACACAAACACCCCAUCUGCACAAGCUCACGUCCUCGCUCACACCGCAGCAAAAGUUGGCGAAAGCUUCAGGAGAGAAACGCAACUCAAAUAUCCAGGACCUGUCUAUGUCCCCGCCCACUGUCACAGCAGCUAACCAAUCCCCUUCCACCACGGGAAGUGCGUCCUCUCAUCCUGUUCUGAGUCCUCCACGAGGACAGAAUGCGGUGCCGGUUUCUGUGUUAAAAAUGAGCCCGCCCCCUUUGUCUACGAGCCAGUCCAAGAAAGGGACGAUAAAGAGACUCAAGACGGAAAGUCAGUCAGCUCACACGAAGGAUGAGGACGAGGAUGAGGAUGAGGAAGUCGAAGUGGAGGUUGUUGAGGUAACAAGGCCCAAAGAGGAAGACACACAGCUGCUGUGCCCUCGCCCUUUCAGCAGUAAUUCUGCCAAAGAUGUGCAGCAUCAACACAAAGAGGAAUACAACGACGACGGAGAGGAGGAAGAUGAGGAAGAGGACGAGAACGGAGGAAUGGAGGUGGACGACGAGAGUGGUGCAGAAGAUGGAGAAAAGGACUUACUCAGUAGUUCUGGGCGUCACCAAAUGCUCCCUCUUCUCUCCUCGCUGUCAUCGCUGGUCCUUUACCUUCGUCGACUGCAGCACUCGGCCUUCUUGUCUCUGUCACGCCAGCUGGAGUCAGCUGAGGCCUGGCGUCUCCUGUGCCACUCCAGCUUGGCUCUUCUCAUUCUGUACAACCGACGGCGUGAGUGUGAGGUGUCCAAACUGUCCAUCACGGAGUACCAUUCCCGCAUCACUCCUCAAUGCCCUGUUCCUGUCCCACCUGGCGCUCCCCCGGCUCUCACACCCCUGGAGGCCUCCCUCUCUCCCUUUGAACGCUUGGUGCUUCCUCACCUCCCUCGAGUCGGUGUUCAGGGGAAACGUGGACGCGUCCAGCCUCUCAUCCUUCCACCUCACUGCGAGCCCUGCCUGGACCUUCUCCUCCAGACGCGGCAGGAUGUAGGAGUCGAUCCUACGAACCCGUUUGUCUUUGCCCGGCCAUACCACUCUCCUGCCACACCACUUCGAGGUACCGACCUUCUCCGCAGCUUGGCACGCUCCAGCGGGACCCGUAACCCCCGCGCGUUGACGCAGACCAGAGUUCGCCGUCAGGUAGCGAUCCUGACUCAGCUGCUGCUUCUGGGUGAAGGAGAGGAGCUCCAACAGCCUGGAGGAAAUGCUGUGGAGAGGCUCGAGCACUUCCUAGAAAGGGAGUACCAUGUGACACAGAACUGUGCAGGGAUUGGUCAAGAUCCGGGCCUAAUGGGCAGAGUGGGCAGAGUGGUGCUGUGUGGAGAAAGAGAUGGAGUUCUGUUCAGAGGAAUGAGCUUAAACCACAUCUGUCUGGAACUAGAUGUGAUGUCAGGAAACUCUGCAGAUUCUUACUCGGAAGGCGAAUCUGAUGGGGAGCAAAUGAAGGAGAAGCCUGAAGUCCUAGCCCCAGUUUCCGCCCCCACACCUACCCCCACCCUGCUGUACGUCAGGAAAGGCAAGAACAAGGGGCGUGUGGGAAGACCCAAGAAGCUGAAGAACUUACAAUUGUCACCCACACUUCUUCCAUCUCUCCCUGUGAACACCAAGAGAGGUUCAGGGAAGCGAGGUGUCCUCAAACGGCCGUGGUCGGAGGCGGAGCGCGCCGCUGUGGAGGAGCACCUGACACAGAACAUCAACGAGCUCCGGGUUCCGGCCAAAGCUGACUGUGAACGCUGCCUGCAGCAGUGCCCCCUGCUGGUCAGCAACCACCGUGACUGGAGAGCCAUCAAGUUCUACUGUCAUAACCGCAUCCAGCUGCUGAAGAAAAACCAGCGUCGGGAGAAUGAUCCUCAGCCGCUGACUGUCUACUGAGGGGGAAUGUUCAGUGAGGGGCCGAAGAGAGGAGUUCAGAAAAAGUGCAGCUGCAGUGUGUGUGUGUGUGUGUGUGUGUGUGUGUGUGUGUGUGUCAGUGGCGGCUGGUGCAUUUUUCUCCAGGGGGGGCUACAACUCCAAAAUAGACAUACACCAAAAACAGGGUUUGUGCAGCGUUGAACAAAUAAGGAGGGAAAAUUGCAGUCACAUAACGGCUUUAAAACUAAGCUCAUGUAUUGUCACAGAACCCAUAAACAAGCAAGAACAAAUACAAUGGAGUGAGUGCGUGUCAGGGUUAUUAUACUUUUUGAAAUGUAAUUUGUUUUUAUUUCAAUUUAGUUUUUCAGAUUUAAAAAAAAAAAAAUUAAGUUAGUUUAAUAAGUAAUUAAAUAAAAAAGGGUGUGAAAAAAGAAGUGGUAAAUGA